This 114-nucleotide ribosomal RNA is filed under the name Pteropus alecto (black flying fox). The record is from RNAcentral. Lineage: Eukaryota; Metazoa; Chordata; Mammalia; Chiroptera; Pteropodidae.
GUCUACAGCCAUGCCACCUGUGCCCGAUCUCGUCUGAUCUCAGAAACUAAGCAAGGUCAGGCCUGGUUAGUACUUGGAUGGAAGACCACCUAGGAAGACCAGGUGCUGUAAGCU